GCCGAAGUGGUGAAAUUGGUAGACACGCUACUUUGAGGGGGUAGUGACCUUUGGGUCGUGCCGGUUCGAGUCCGGCCUUCGGCA
Molecule: transfer RNA, 84 nt
Filed under: gamma proteobacterium HdN1
Lineage: Bacteria; Pseudomonadati; Pseudomonadota; Gammaproteobacteria
Rfam family: tRNA
About the family: Transfer RNA (tRNA) molecules are approximately 80 nucleotides in length. Their secondary structure includes four short double-helical elements and three loops (D, anti-codon, and T loops).
Source: Rfam by way of RNAcentral